This 793-nucleotide long non-coding RNA is filed under the name Sarcophilus harrisii (Tasmanian devil). RNAcentral's name for it is "lncRNA (ENSSHAG00000030385.1)". Lineage: Eukaryota; Metazoa; Chordata; Mammalia; Dasyuromorphia; Dasyuridae. The record is from RNAcentral.
UGCCCGCAUUUCUCGGUGCAUGGAGAGGAGUCGCGGUGGGGGGGUUUCACAAGGAAGCGUCCAGACUCGAAGAGACGGUCUUUCAUGGCUCCCCCUCUUCCUGGCAGAAUGGUCCGGACCCAGCGGCCUCUCCCUCCUCAAAAUGGAUAAACUGGCUGAGAAGGGAACCAACUGGGUGAAGAUGAAGUAUAGAGGUCCUGAGGGGGCCCCAGCUGUCAGCACAGUCCCCUUGCCCCAUCACGAGUCCAUUUCCUUCCUGGUUAACUCUAACUGGAAGGUGCCCGACGCCCACCUUGGAAGACGGUGCUCAUUGUAUACUUGAGGAUCCUGGGAGGGAUGGAGACCCUCCCAGGCCCCCCCAAGUCCUCUCACAGAAGUGUCCUGGGAGCGGAGCCCUUCGGAAAAGCCGCAGUUGGGCCUCUCGGCUCCGGACCUGUGCUUUGCUUUGCUUGGAGAGGGCGACAGCUUCUCAUAGCGCCAAUAAAGAAUUAUCUAAGGGCAGGGCGCCACUGCUUGGUGUUUGUGCUCGACAGCCCACGUUUGAACAAGUUGCAUCCUGGGGGUGGGCGUCUCCUUGGCUGCUGAGGCCUCUUGGGCUCCCUGGGUAGGAAGCUGGCAAGGUCCAGGGCUCAGGAUGCUCUUACCUGCCAGGGAUCCUGAGGGAGGUGACUGUGGGAGGGGAAAGGCCCUGAGCACUAGUGCUUUCCCGGCCUGAGGGCUAGAGACCAACGGUGCCCCUGGUGGCCCCUAAAGGGGCCUGAGAAGUUAGAAAAAACGGACCGUGGGAGUGCUG